RNAcentral lists this long non-coding RNA (1158 nucleotides) under Manacus vitellinus (golden-collared manakin). RNAcentral's name for it is "lncRNA (ENSMVIG00005014571.1)". Lineage: Eukaryota; Metazoa; Chordata; Aves; Passeriformes; Pipridae. The record is from RNAcentral.
GGCCUCUAAUAGAGAGGAUUAAUUGUAGCACAAUAGCUGCAAAAAGAAGGUGAAAACUCUAUCCUAAGGGGUUUGUGUAAAGAAUGGAAGUUACACCAGUUAGAAAGACUUCCUAAAAUACUGGUAUAACUCCCAUACACUCUUUGGAUAUGGAUAUGGGUACCACUGGUGAAGUUUAGGACUGAGAUUCUAAAGAGAUCAUUUUACUUUUAAAUCUGUUAAAUUGGCUGUAAGUGGACUUUUACAGGCUCAGUUCUAAAAAGAUCAGAUGCAUCAGGCAGAGCCAACAAGAUUCAGAGUGAGCAAAAUAAAAGCCACUUACUGAGAAUGCUUUCAAUGGAGAACAAUCAUCAUGGCAGAAAAUAAUUAAAAUGAUCAGGAAUAAUGGCAGGCCACUUAAUACAGCCAGAAGAAGGAUGUUUGUUACAGAACUGCUAGUUAACCUACCAAAGAGACAGGAUUUAUCAUUGAGUAUUCCCGAAGUUGUGAUGGAAUUGGGUUAAUUCAGCGUAGACAAAAGCAGUAUAUUAAAACUUUCAACUGUGUGCAUUAACACUGUCUUUUCAUUAAUUAUUCCUUAGAAGAACCCAAGGACUUAACAGAAAAAAAACCACAAAGAAGGACAUCUCAGAAGCAGGUUCCUGUUUUCCUUCAGUGGAAAUUUACAGUCACUGCUGUCUGCCUGCUUUUCUUCCUCUUUAGUGAUGGCCAGCAGCCUACAUUCACCCAGCCAUGCUUCCCUGUCUGCAGAAAAGUCUGUCACAGCUUGGCAAACAGCAGCACACAGAAGAGAAGUGGUUUGUUCAAGUAAAUCCAUGGCAGAGCCACCAAAACCCACCAGGUAAUCCUGUGUUCCAGUCACUUGUUCUUCCUAUUAAUUGAUAAUAAUUCCUUCAGGAAGCCAACUCAAAAAUAAUUUAUUAUCAAGAAAUGGGGGAGAGUUCCUAUACCUAGACUUGAUACUUGUUACUGAUUUUCAUAACUUUGUGGCCUCCUUAUUGGUAAAAGAAGAAACAUUACCAAAGAUUAACUUUUAUUUACUAACUUUUCCCCCAGCUUUUGUACUACAGACCUGAUCGAAGCAUAUGAGUUAAUAAGUUCCCAAACUCUAGCAAAUAGGGCAAUAAAAGAGAAAAGAAAAGAGGGGUUUAUGAGUAC